RNAcentral lists this transfer RNA (76 nucleotides) under bacterium. RNAcentral describes it as "tRNA-Lys". It matches the Rfam family "tRNA". Rfam says of the family: Transfer RNA (tRNA) molecules are approximately 80 nucleotides in length. Their secondary structure includes four short double-helical elements and three loops (D, anti-codon, and T loops). The record is from RNAcentral.
GGGCCAUUAGCUCAGUUGGUAGAGCAGGGGACUUUUAAUCCCAAGGUCGCAGGUUCGAGACCUGCAUGGCCCACCA